GACGAACGCUGGCGGCGUGCUUAACACAUGCAAGUCGAACGGAAAGGCCCUGCUUGUGUGGGGUGCUCGAGUGGCGAACGGGUGAGUAACACGUGAGUAACCUGCCCUUGACUUUGGGAUAACUUCAGGAAACUGGGGCUAAUACCGGAUAGGAGCGCCUGCUGCAUGGUGGGGGUUGGAAAGUUUCGGCGGUUGGGGAUGGACGCGCGGCUUAUCAGCUGGUGGGUGGGGUAGUGGCUUACCAAGGCGUUGACGGGUGGCCGGCCUGGGAGGGUGACCGGCCACAUUGGGACUGAGGUACGGCCCAGACUCCUACGGGAGGCAGCAGUGGGGAAUAUUGCACAAUGGGCGGAAGCCUGAUGCAGCAACGCCGCGUGCGGGAUGACGGCCUUCGGGUUGUAAACCGCUUUCGCCUGUGACGAAGCGUGAGUGACGGUAAUGGGUAAAGAAGCACCGGCUAACUACGUG
This 468-nucleotide ribosomal RNA is filed under the name uncultured bacterium. RNAcentral's name for it is "partial 16S ribosomal RNA". It matches the Rfam family "Bacterial small subunit ribosomal RNA", at positions 28 to 507 of the family's 1533-position model. The record is from RNAcentral.